RNAcentral lists this ribosomal RNA (925 nucleotides) under Lasiomma latipenne. Its description in RNAcentral is "eukaryotic LSU rRNA". It matches the Rfam family "Eukaryotic large subunit ribosomal RNA", at positions 138 to 885 of the family's 3401-position model. Lineage: Eukaryota; Metazoa; Arthropoda; Insecta; Diptera; Anthomyiidae. The record is from RNAcentral.
GUGAGAUGCAGUGUAUGGAAUGUCAAAUUUCUAGUAUGAGAAAUUAACGAUUUAAGUCCUUCUUAAAUGAGGCCAUUUACCCAAAGAGGGUGCCAGGCCCGUAUAACGUUAAUGAUUACUAGAUGACAUUUCCAAAGAGUCGUGUUGCUUGAUAGUGCAGCACUAAGUGGGUGGUAAACUCCAUCUAAAACUAAAUAUAACCAUGAGACCGAUAGUAAACAAGUACCGUGAGGGAAAGUUGAAAAGAACUCUGAAUAGAGAGUUAAAUAGUACGUGAAACUGCUUAGAGGUUAAGCCCGAUGAACCUGAAUAUCCUUUAUGGAAAAUUCAUCAUUAUGAUUUUAAUAUUAAUAAUAUUAUAAUAAUGGUGUGCAUUUUUUCCAUAUAUGGACAUUGUAAUCUAUUAAUAAAAACAAUAUUUAUUAUAAGAUCUUAGCUUUUGUUUAUUCAAAUUAUUAUGCUUGCAUUUUAACAUAGAAUAAGUGCUUUUGAUUUGAUAAAGUGUUGAUAGAUUUAUUAUAUAUAGUGCUUGAAUAUUUAUAUUCUAUAAUGGCAUAUUGAUCAUUGAUCUUUGUGUUUAUAUUAUAUGCACUUAUAUGAUUAACAAUGCGAAAGAUUCAGGAUACCUUCGGGACCCGUCUUGAAACACGGACCAAGGAGUCUAACAUAUUUGCAAGUUAUUGGGAAUUAAAAACCUAAUAGCGAAAUUAACAUAACUUAUAUAAUGGGAUUAGUUUUUAGUACUAUUUAUAGUCUAUUAAUUCAAUCCCGGGGCGUUCUAUACAGUUAUGUAUAAUAAUAUUUAUAUUAUUUAUACCUCUAACUAGAGCGUACCUUGAGCAUAUAUGCUGUGACCCGAAAGAUGGUGAACUAUACUUGAUCAGGUUGAAGUCAGGGGAAACCCUGAUGGAAGACCGAAACAGUU